Molecule: transfer RNA, 74 nt
Organism: Anoxybacillus sp. B7M1
Lineage: Bacteria; Bacillati; Bacillota; Bacilli; Caryophanales; Anoxybacillaceae
Rfam family: tRNA
About the family: Transfer RNA (tRNA) molecules are approximately 80 nucleotides in length. Their secondary structure includes four short double-helical elements and three loops (D, anti-codon, and T loops).
Source: Rfam
CGCGGGGUGGAGCAGCCUGGUAGCUCGUCGGGCUCAUAACCCGAAGGUCGCAGGUUCAAAUCCUGCCCCCGCAA